AUUUACAUAUUUAUGUAAUUUCAUUCACAAAGAGUAUAACGAUUAAUCUGCAAAGUAUUCUAAGCCUGAGGGCUCAAUGGGGAUAUGUAAGGGAUUGUCUUCCUUUGCGUGGAUAAGAAUCAAACUGAUUCGUUUGGGUCGCCACCGGGGAGGAUGUUGCCUCGUGGCUGGCGCGAGGGCGCCGCGGUCAAGCGUGAUCGAGAGGUCGGGUCGUCGUGUUGGACUACGAUCGCGUCUGAGGACGCACCACCGUGACUCGUGUCUUGUCUGUUGGAGCCGGCUGAUGACCAUGAAGGGGUUGCGCGCCGGAGGAUAGCGACGGGGCCGAGGGUCGCCGUGCGCUCCGGGAUGGAGGCUGCCGGUUCGUCGAGGCCGGUGUUACCUUCCGUUGUCGGGGUGUCUCGCAUGGAUCGAGGCCUCCUCACGCUGGACAUCAUUUUUGCAAGUAGAAGAAACGCCUUCGCGAUGUGGAUGAAGUGCAGUCGACCUCUUCAUGGAUGAUUUGAUGAAGCGACUUUAGCAUAAGGUAGAAUGAAUGAGAUUUCUUUAAUCACAAGAAGACAAACGGAAUUAACAUUGUGAUGAUUAAUUUCCUGUACAAAUGCAUGCAUGGACCAUGGGUUGCCGCUGCAUGUCGCUGCAUUGUUAGCCUGUUGCUGCUCUUGCCAAGGAUGAAGUCGUUCAUGGCUUUGCCAGAUCGGACUGCCACUCUUAAUCACAAGGAGACAACAGAUUUGCAUUUGCAACUGAUUUCCUGAUGCAUACAUGCAUGCCGUUCUGCCACAACCAGCCUUGCUGCAAUCACUCCGCGAAUCAUGAAGCCGCCCCGUGCCUUGAUCCAGCCGACGGAGUACGCGCAGUACCGCACCAGUAUGCCGCGGUCGCUACCGCUGCUUCGCCUUGCGUAGAAGUCGUUCGCCUUCGGUCAUUAUUGCUUGAAUACCAGACGUCCAGACCUGUUGUGAAAUCGCUCCACUCGAGAGCGUACUGAUAACGUGUUUGAAGUAGAAAGUAAAGAAUCGAGAGAGUUGAAUGAAAGAUGAUUCAUUAGUCUUUAUUGAUGAUAGCAAUGGGGUAUUUAUACUCGAACGGAAGUACACAUGUUG
This 1106-nucleotide long non-coding RNA is filed under the name Hordeum vulgare. RNAcentral describes it as "long non-coding RNA (HVUL_LNC006565)". The record is from RNAcentral. Lineage: Eukaryota; Viridiplantae; Streptophyta; Magnoliopsida; Poales; Poaceae.